CCCCAGCAGCACCAUGCCACCCACCCCGAGUAUCCCCUGGGCACCCUGGCAUAGCCAGAUGACUUCCGUGCCCCUGUUGCAAUAACCACUGCUUCCAAGUCUCUGUAGACCACCCCUUGGGUAUAUCUCAUGUUACCAUGCCAGCAAUGAUUCCUUUUGAGUUUCUGACAGAAGAUAGUGGUUUUCAUCCAAAUAAGUCAACUACUCUACCCCAUCCCUAAGCCACUUGUAUGGAAAGAAAAAGAGGAAGAAGCCAGUACUGUGACUGCGUAAGCUUCCCCCAGCAUCACCGGCUAUGAGAUGUGUGGCAGCUGAGACCCGGGAACUGCUCAAGGGCACCAGGCCCCAUCUGUCUGCACUCACUCACCUUCCUCAGGUACUCGCAUGGGCAUGUCACUGACUUUACAUGCUGCUGCAGCUCCUUGGUGAGCUGGCCCUGGUCAUGGGACAGGAACUGUGGGGUCAGGACAAUAGAGAGCUUCACCAUUUGCAGAAUGAGAACAGGGGCUCAUGAUGAGUGCCAACCUAU
This is a long non-coding RNA of Homo sapiens (human), 529 nucleotides long. RefSeq lists it as uncharacterized. NCBI's taxonomy places the organism in Eukaryota, Metazoa, Chordata, Mammalia, Primates, Hominidae. The transcript has 2 exons. The record is from RefSeq and is a predicted model, not a curated record.